GAUGAAGAACGCAGUGAAAUGCGAUAAGUAAUGUGAAUUGCAGAAUUCAGUGAAUCAUCGAAUCUUUGAACGCACCUUGCGCUCCUUGGUAUUCCGAGGAGCAUGCCUGUUUGAGUGUCAUUAAAUUCUCAACCUUAUUGGCUUUUGCUGAUAAUGGCUUGGACUUGGGGGUCUUUUUGCUGGCUUUCAUUAGUCUGCUCCCCUUAAAUGUAUUAGCCGGUGCCCCGCAGUGGAACCGUCUAUUGGUGUGAUAAUUAUCUACGCCGUGGACGUCUGCUAUAAUGGGUUUGCGCUGCUUCUAACCGUCUCUCGGGACAACACAAAUGACAAUUUGACCUCAAAUCAGGUAGGACUACCCGCUGAACUUAAGCAUAUCAAUAAGCGGAGGA
RNAcentral lists this unclassified non-coding RNA (389 nucleotides) under soil metagenome. RNAcentral describes it as "partial contains 5.8S ribosomal RNA, internal transcribed spacer 2, and large subunit ribosomal RNA". The stretch from base 1 to 120 matches the Rfam family "5.8S ribosomal RNA", at positions 35 to 154 of the family's 154-position model. The record is from RNAcentral.